This is a non-coding RNA of Jatropha curcas, 472 nucleotides long. The record is from RefSeq and is a predicted model, not a curated record. Lineage: Eukaryota; Viridiplantae; Streptophyta; Magnoliopsida; Malpighiales; Euphorbiaceae.
UUGUUCUUCUUGUAUUCUUGAUUUUCUUGGUUUUAUUUAUUCUUGAAAAUGUUGAUUUCUGAUUAGCUACUGAUUUCUUGAUAGGAUUACUUUCAGGAGAACAAUAUAGAGUAAAUCAACAGAGCAAUUCUCAGGCGUCGCAUAAAGAGUAAUGAGUAUAGCCUACCAUUCGUUUCCAAGAACUAUAUUUUGUUAAUGGGACAGGAGCUGUAAUUGAAAGCAUAUACGUGUUUGUUAUCAUUUGUAUACAUCAAGGAAGGAGAAGGGUAAAAUCUUAGGCCUCCUUACAUUUGUGCUCACCAUUUUUGCUUGCUGUAUACGUGAUGGAAAACGAAGAUUAUGAAAUUGGUCUCCCCUGUCCUCCUUUGGACGACCUUACAAUUUCUUUGGUUCAAAUCAUAUUUGAUUUGCGACCUGAGAAAUUCUUUGAAGGAGUAGCUGAUGAUAAGCCGGUGAUGGUUUGAACGCAGAG